Silurus meridionalis is the source of this 1639-nucleotide long non-coding RNA. RefSeq lists it as uncharacterized. NCBI's taxonomy places the organism in Eukaryota, Metazoa, Chordata, Actinopteri, Siluriformes, Siluridae. The record is from RefSeq and is a predicted model, not a curated record. The transcript has 3 exons.
UGUGCAUGCCCAAGGACAGCCAAAGACAUUGGCUUGGUGAAAAGUGGCUGAUAUCCACACCUUGCAACAAAAUGAUGGUGGAUUGACAGAUUGCCCACUACAGACAGAGGGAGAGAGCGGGAACGAGGGAGAAAGAGAGAGAGAGAGAGAGAGAGAGAGAGAGAGAGAGAGAGAGAGAGAGAGAAUAGAUGGAUAAAGAGUGAUUGAAAUGUAAGCGUCUGUCAGUUUGAUUGGCUGAUGGACCUGGAGGGAGGACUGCUGUCAGAUGGGCACCAUGGGAUUCUAGUCUCAAUUACCACCAACAUUGUCAUCUUUGAAGAACAGGUACCUUCAUCUGUGACCUUCAGCAAGUGAAGUCUGACGUGAAAAUGCCCCCCAGGGUGUCUUAUCCUAUCUCAGGUUUUAAAAUGGAAAAUUUCAUAUCUUAAUGGAAUAAAAAUAUAUUUCUCCCCGUCCUGUUGACAGUUAAGAAAUUUGCAUUUAAAUGUAACAGCCUGGUGUUUAUUGUUUCCUUGCUGUCUAAUAAAAUGACCAUGAGGUCACACUUAACUUUGAAUCAUCUCAAAGUAUAUUUUAAGAACAAUGCAAAAACCAUGACAACUCCUUAUAACAAACCACACAAAGCGCUCUGCUUUAGAUUUCCAUAUGAAGAAAACUCCAUUGUUCUGGAUUAAUAAUCACAAAAACGAGUAUAAUGAGAGAAUUUCAGGCCAAAAUUAUUUUGUUUCAAAUAAUAUCUCCAAAAAAGUUCCCGAGUGGCAUAACUAAGAGCAUUCAAAUUUCCUGAGAUUGAAUCGUGAUGAUACCACAGACACAUUCCCCGGAAUCCAUAAGUGCUUUUGUGUUCUUUUCAGAUAGUAGGAAUGUACUUGGUCUUAUUAAUCAAUCACAGAGACCGUAGCAAAUCAUGGGUUUCUGUUCAGGUAUACAAAAAAGGCAGUUAACAUUUUCCUCCAGGUGUGUCUUCAGCUGCCUUGUAGGGAGGAAAAUUCUGUGCCAGACAGAAAAGCAGUCACACCAGAGGAGGAAUGUGAAACACGUCACACAGAUGGUGCUGCUUUUCCUUACAUGUUUAAGAAAUACAAAGCAAGAAUUCCAUGGCAUUUCAUUUUCAGCAGUAGGUUGCAUUCAUGGAAUACUGAAAUGCAAUUACAGGCCUAAACCAGACUUGGGAAGAGGGCAAGUUUUCAUAAAGUAUCUGCCUGCCACAUAAAGAAAAAUACACGCUAUAGGCUUCAUAUUUAUAAAUGUGCUUUAUUGAGCUUCAGUCUGGGAAAUCUGGGGGGUUUCUUCCUCUCUGCUGCACUGAAGCCUUCUUCAAUAAGCAUUUCAUAAUUAUUACUAAAACACAUCAGUGGUGUGAAGUAUUUGAGUACUUUUUUUGGCCACUUUCUAUCUUUAAUAAGUAUCAAAGAUAUAAGCAACUUUUAUUUACCGACAUUUAUGAUUGAAUAUAUGUACUUUUUACUCUUUACACUAUAUUUUGAUUGAAAAUGACCAUUACCAAUUACAUGCUUAUUUAUUCUGCAGAAAAGUUGAUAUUUACUCACAUUUAAUUUGUCCUUCGAAUUCCAAUGGUUCUUCUACUUUGUGACAUGAUAGUCAUUUUAUUUGUUAAAUUCCUUUUUAAAAGAUUUAC